UACGUAGGGGGCAAGCGUUGUCCGGAUUUAUUGGGCGUAAAGAGCGUGUAGGCGGCCAUACAGGUCAGCUGUGAAAACUCGAGGCUCAACCUCGAGACGUCGGUUGAAACCGUAUGGCUAGAGUCCGGAAGAGGAGAGUGGAAUUCCUGGUGUAGCGGUGAAAUGCGCAGAUAUCAGGAAGAACACCGGUGGCGAAGGCGACAUCCUGGACCGGUAUUGACGCUGAGGCGCGAAAGCCAGGGGAGCAAACGGG
RNAcentral lists this ribosomal RNA (253 nucleotides) under uncultured bacterium. Its description in RNAcentral is "partial 16S ribosomal RNA". It matches the Rfam family "Bacterial small subunit ribosomal RNA", at positions 524 to 776 of the family's 1533-position model. The record is from RNAcentral.